UUUUAUGAACCCCUAAUUUAUAAUGAAUGACUCCAUAUUUAUAUGGAAGACACCAUGCUAGGAUUAGUAACAAGAAUUUAUAAUUCUCCAAAAUGCAAAUAUAAACCAACAUGGAUAGACCAUUGGUAGUUACCGAACCUAAAUUCAAUGCAAUAACAUCCACAAGAAAACUCUGCAGUACUCACUCGUUAACCUAACACCAGCGCAUUACAGGAAAGAUUUAAAAAAAGAGAAGGAAUUCGGCAAAUGACGGCCCCGCCUGUUUACCAAAAACAUCGCCUCUUGACUUAUAAUAAGAGGUCCAGCCUGCCCAGUGAAUUUUAAACGGCCGCGGUAUCCUAACCGCGCGAAGGUAGCAUAAUCACUUGUUCUUUAAAUGGGGACUUGUAUCAACGGCAUCACGAGGGUUUUACUGUCUCCUCUUUUUGAUCAGUGAAAUUGAUCUUCCCGUGAAGAAGCGGGAAUAUUUUUAUAAGACGAGAAGACCCCAUGGAGCUUUAAACCAAAUAACAACUUAACCACUUAUCCCAUAAUAAAUUUAAGCCCUGUUAUAAGGUUUUUGGUUGGGGUGACCGCGGAGUAAAGCACAUCCUCCACGACGGAAAGAACAGAAUCUUUAUUUAAGAACCACACUUCUAGAAAUUAGUAUACUAACGUUUACUGACCCGACAAUCGAUCAACGGACCAAGUUACCCUGGGGAUAACAGCGCAAUCUACUUCAAGAGCUCAUAUCGACAAGUAGGCUUACGACCUCGAUGUUGGAUCAGGGUAUCCCGGUGGUGCAGCCGCUACCGAAGGUUCGUUUGUUCAACGAUUAAAACCCUACGUGA
This 830-nucleotide ribosomal RNA is filed under the name Polypedates leucomystax (Java whipping frog). RNAcentral describes it as "partial large subunit ribosomal RNA". It matches the Rfam family "Bacterial large subunit ribosomal RNA", at positions 1540 to 2603 of the family's 2925-position model. Lineage: Eukaryota; Metazoa; Chordata; Amphibia; Anura; Rhacophoridae. The record is from RNAcentral.